Molecule: transfer RNA, 74 nt
Filed under: Actinoallomurus iriomotensis
Lineage: Bacteria; Bacillati; Actinomycetota; Actinomycetes; Streptosporangiales; Thermomonosporaceae
Also listed under: 10 other names
Rfam family: tRNA
About the family: Transfer RNA (tRNA) molecules are approximately 80 nucleotides in length. Their secondary structure includes four short double-helical elements and three loops (D, anti-codon, and T loops).
Source: Rfam by way of RNAcentral
CGGGACGUAGCGCAGCUUGGUAGCGCAUUUGACUGGGGGUCAAAGGGUCGUGGGUUCGAAUCCCGCCGUCCCGA